Molecule: long non-coding RNA, 1890 nt
Organism: Oreochromis niloticus (Nile tilapia)
Lineage: Eukaryota; Metazoa; Chordata; Actinopteri; Cichliformes; Cichlidae
Exons: 3
Source: RefSeq, a predicted model, not a curated record
AUCGGCUAAUGACGCCCCCUAGCGUUUGGAGUAUAGGCUAUACUUGAUCCAAGCGUCCAAGCUGAAGAGAGACAUUAAGACAUCGAUUUUUUUUACACUGUACAUGUCAAACAAAUCUGUGUUUCUCCGAUAUUUUAGAGUUACACAGCUGAAUUCAACAAGCUAUAACCAGAUUUUACACAAGCUGUCAUGGCUGAUGGAGUCCAUCCCAGCUACCAUGAGAUGAGAGGUGGGGUACACCCUGGACAGGUCGUCAGUCUUGACAACAGCAAGGUCAAGUUGAUGGCACUUUCCCCUGUUUAGAUACAUCCUCGUCCUGUGCAUCUCAGACUGCUGGCUCAUCUGCAGAGGAGUCUGUGUCCUAUUGAAUGAGACACCAAUCAAGAAGGAAGGCUACAUCCCAGGAAAUUCACAGCAACAACACAACUAGAUGUGUGUUAGGACCAGUGUGGACAUUUGCUGCUUCACUGUGAAAGGCUCGAAUGGUGUAACCUCUGUCCAAAGGGUGCGUUGAGGUGGAAAUCCAAGAAGUGCAAUACGUUCCUGUGCUUGAAUGCACACCAGCAAAGCUUGGCAGUAGACCCCUUGAAGUAAAGGGGAUCUAAUGCCCCAAAACAUGCUGCUACAUUUAAAGACGUUUUAUGGCUUUUGCAGAGAAAUUUUAAAAGUGUCCAAAAAUUUUAUUUGACUGUUACUAAUCUGGUUAUCAAUUAAGAGUUAUACUAUAAAGGGAAACCUUGACUGUUUGAUAGAGAACUCUAUUUAAAAGAAUAAUGGUGCUUGAAUUAAAAAAACAUAUAUAUUUGUUGUUAUUUUUCUUACUCAUUUUUUUAGAAUUCCUGUUAUUAAACACUUGUACAGACUUUGUAGAGUAUAUGUCUGCAAUGUUGACUGCUUAGGCUAACACAGGGUCCUGUAGCUUUCCUGUAGAGUAAACCUGCACACUGAGGUAUUUUCCAAGUCAUGCCAAUAUAUUAUGGUGAAUAUCCUUAAGUUCAAGUGCAAAUAAAAGAAUUAAUAUUGGAGGAAAUUACUGUCAUCACAUCAUGGUUCAUAGGUUUCAGUAUUAUAUAGCUUUUGUUAAAAUCUUUAAUGACAUGUUGACUAUGACAAGAUAUUUACUGACUACUUCAUCUUAAAAAGUAAUGCAGAACAAAAUAAUAAACUUUUAGUGAUGCGCUUCACAUACAUUCGUCACAUAAUAAUAUUGAUUAAUAUUGGAAACUACACAAAAUGAAGCUUCUUGCCAGUGACCUGAGGAUCAUUUGCAUCAUCUGGUUUAGAUAUAUGGGUGGAUUAUAAGACACUUCAGAGCAGUGUAAAUUCAAUCAUAUUGCAAGAUAUAUACAGAGGAAAUAUUUUGAGACUACCUUACAAUCUUGGUGGUAUAAUACGAAUGAACAGUAGCAUAUAAUGAUGUCUUAAGUCAAUCAUAAGUUGAAGUGCAUAUAUAUUUUAAGUUCUGUUAGAAUGAUGAAAUAACCUUUACAGUGAUUUGUUUAUUAGGCACAGCACAGUUUGCACAAAUACGCAAACAAUUACAUUUAAACUUUAACCAGACAAAUUUAUUUCCAUGUGCAGGAAUUCCUUUGUGCAUACAUGGAAAGUGUAAGGCCUUAGACUUCAACCUACAUAAACAGGGCAGGCAUCAACAGAUAUGGUACUGAUAAUGGCCAAACCUUUUAAGUCCACCCUCAAAACCCACCUGUUCAAACUAGCAUAAAGAAAUGCGCUGAAGUUGUGUACAGGUAGUCAGGCUAAACCAACUUAAAUUGUGCACCCUAAAUUAAAUUUGCCAGUUACAUAGGUAUUUUUUAGCUGAACCUUCCUGGUAUUGAGAUCAGAUAAUAUAGGCUUGUGUAUUGACAUUAUAGGCUGAUCUUAACUUUG